UACGGAGGGGGCUAGCGUUGUUCGGAAUUACUGGGCGUAAAGCGCACGUAGGCGGAUUGGAAAGUCAGAGGUGAAAUCCCAGGGCUCAACCUUGGAACUGCCUUUGAAACUCCCAGUCUUGAGUUCGAGAGAGGUGAGUGGAACUGCGAGUGUAGAGGUGAAAUUCGUAGAUAUUCGCAAGAACACCAGUGGCGAAGGCGGCUCACUGGUCCGGUACUGACGCUGAGGUGCGAAAGCGUGGGGAGCAACAGG
Molecule: ribosomal RNA, 252 nt
Filed under: uncultured bacterium
Lineage: Bacteria
Description: partial 16S ribosomal RNA
Rfam family: Bacterial small subunit ribosomal RNA
Source: RNAcentral